Molecule: unclassified non-coding RNA, 324 nt
Filed under: soil metagenome
Description: partial contains 5.8S ribosomal RNA, internal transcribed spacer 2, and large subunit ribosomal RNA
Rfam family: 5.8S ribosomal RNA (bases 1-120)
Source: RNAcentral
GAUGAAGAACGCAGCGAAAUGCGAUAAGUAAUGCGAAUUGCAGAAUACAGUGAGUCAUCGAAUCUUUGAACGCACAUUGCGCCCUGUGGUAUUCCGCAGGGCAUGCCUGUUCGAGCGUCAUUUCAACCCUCAAGCCCCGCUUGGUGUUGGGCCCCGCCCGCUGUGGCCGGCCCUAAAGACAGUGGCGGCGCCGCCUGGCCCUCAGCGUAGUACAUCUCUCGCUCCAGGGUCCGGUGGCCGCCUGCCAGAACCCCCCAACUCUGUGGUUGACCUCGGAUCAGGUAGGGAUACCCGCUGAACUUAAGCAUAUCAAUAAGCGGAGGA